UACGGGAGGCAGCAGUGGGGAAUAUUGGACAAUGGGGGCAACCCUGAUCCAGCAAUUCUGUGUGCACGAAGAAGGUUUUCGGAUUGUAAAGUGCUUUCAGCAGGGAAGAAGAAAGUGACGGUACCUGUCAGAAGAAGCGACGGCUAAAUACGUGCCAGCAGCCGCGGUAAU
This 171-nucleotide ribosomal RNA is filed under the name uncultured Leptotrichia sp. RNAcentral describes it as "partial 16S ribosomal RNA". It matches the Rfam family "Bacterial small subunit ribosomal RNA", at positions 340 to 524 of the family's 1533-position model. The record is from RNAcentral. Lineage: Bacteria; Fusobacteriati; Fusobacteriota; Fusobacteriia; Fusobacteriales; Leptotrichiaceae.